Long non-coding RNA from Hipposideros armiger (great roundleaf bat), 2835 nucleotides. RefSeq lists it as uncharacterized. The transcript has 5 exons. NCBI's taxonomy places the organism in Eukaryota, Metazoa, Chordata, Mammalia, Chiroptera, Hipposideridae. The record is from RefSeq and is a predicted model, not a curated record.
GUGGACGGGUGCAGCCAGCGGUGACCCGGCUCACACGUUCGGCGCGGUCCCUACCGCCUGUGACAGAGCCGCCUUGGAGGUCCCACACUUGGGGAAGAUUUCCUUCCAUCUCCCGCUUCAGAUAUCCAAUUGUAUUUGUCUGCUUGCUCUGCCACAAGAAGAAAAAUACCACAGACCAGGAGCUUAAACAAUGGAAAUUGAUUUCUCACACUUCUGAGGCUGGGAAGUCCAAGGUCAAGGUGCUGGCAAGGAAAGGGGCCCACACUGAGGACAAACUGCUAGACCUGGAAACAAAAUUGAGCUGAACAGAGACAAGGGAAAAAGAAGGUCUGGGUAAAAAUGGAAGACCAGGAAAUAUCCAAAGCUGCUGAGACCACAGAGAGAGAGACCAGCAGACAUACCUUAUGUGCCUCAUGGUGAAAGAAGCAAGCAACACCACCCAGUCACCUGCAGGCACUGCGUCUUCCCAGCUCAAACACCAUGGAGAGAUACUGGUGUCCUGUAGCCAGUUUGUACCGUCGUGCAGGAACCAACGGUUCGCAUCACUUCCCAACUCCAUACUCAGUGAUGUCACAUGGUAGCUUGGAAUCGGAGUAUUUACACCAUGGAAAUCAGCAAACACUACAAAUCAGGGGCGUUCUUGCAGCGUCUCGUCUGACUUCCUGACCUGCAGGAUCCACAAAUAGGUGCUUGAAGGCACCCAGGUUUGGAGUCAUUGUUUUAUUACAAGGAAAUGAUUACUGUAAAGGCUAGUGGUGACUUUUGGAGGGAGGAAGGUGGUUGAGAUUAGAGCUUCUGAAACUUCCGGGAUGGCUGGCAGAUUCUCUGAAUGUGGGUGGUGGUUUAAAGGAUAGUUCCUCUUACAACAAUUAAGUCAUAUAUUUGUUUUAUAAUUUUCUGUAUCUGUUUUAGUUUGUAAUAAAAAUAUUUCUUUAAAAAAGUGUUUUUUUAAAAUAGGAAGAUAGUAGGAUGAUGACUUCUUUUCUAUUUCCAAUAUAUAUUUAGCAAAAUGCACUUUGGAUGUGGAAUAGUUCAAUGACAACACUAACAGUUAAAUUUUAAAGUUUUGAAACCUACAUUAUGGAAACCUAUAUGAGCCUCAUGGAGAUAAUGUUGAUAUCACUUCAUGAAUAUAUAUUGAUACGUUCAGAAAAUAAAGUCAUACAGUCUCAAAGGAGAGAGCCACUUAUAAUGAGCUCUUUGGAUAGAUAGUUCAAUUCUUAAUUACCCUGAUGGAAAUAAAAAAUAAGCUUACUUUAAGUUUACAUCAAAUAUAAUAUUUAUGACUGUGCCAGAGCUUAUGGGAUAUAAGAAUAAAAGCCUUCUCAGUAUGUUUCUUAUAUUUUACGUAGACCAGCAAUAUACUUUUAUUUACUACGACAAUUUUAUACUAAAUGCUUUUAACAUAUGCAGUGUUCCUACUUUAAGGUAUUAGAUACUGCUAGAUUUGAUCAGAUUGGAUAUUAGUUCCUAAUAUUUAGUUUCCUGUAUUUAGCAAAAUUAGAAUGACAUCAGAAUAAUAAUAACAGCAAUAAUAAUAAUACAAGCAACUUGGUAUAGUGCCCUACAUAAUAGGCCCUCAAUAUUGGAGUUGUACUGCUUUGGUAGAGUACAGAAAUAGUUAUGCGGCAUGAUUCAGGUAUGUGAGAACGGUGCCCGCUACAGGCUCUGAAAUUCCACCAUUAGAAUGUACUCAUGUGAGUCUGAACGGCAAAUACCUUCAGGAAAAAAAAAAUCGUGUCUUUCAGACAACGCCUCCACAGGAGACAGGUGUUACACAUCUCAGUGAGACUUAUGGGAAUGGACUCAGGCCCCAUGCCUGGGGCAAGGUAGGAGGGACCUCAGAAAAGGGGGCUGUGUAAUGACCGGCGAGGUGGACAGUUCCAAACAGACGCAUUCUGUUAGCCAUCCUUGGUCCUCCAGCUUAUUUUAAGAAAUCUUUUUUCCUGAGAUGUGGCAAAAGACUGAAAGUCCUCUCAGCACCAAAAGCGAAGAUUUAGAAAUGAGGUAAAAUGUCAUGAGUUAAGCGCUGUGUCAAAUAACCCAGGUUACAGGAUAGAUUAAAUAUCUUAUUUGGGUGACAUCCAAAUAAGCAGUACUUUUAUUUAUGGAACAGAUGUUACCGUUUGUUACAUUGCAAAGCCCCAGCACCCAUGCACUGGUGUACCAGUGCUUUUCGAUGAAUUCAGCCUGGUUCAGGGAUUCCAAUCUGACUAUUAAAGUCUCCAUUUCACUUAGGUGCUCAUUAUCGCUGAUGACAGCCUUUGGCAUAACUGCAGUGAAUGUGUGUCUGCCUGUCUGUCUGUCUCUUCCCUUGCCAGCUUACGACGGUGUAACAGUCUGCACCUCAGAUGGCAGUGGGUGUGGUGAUCUCCUUUUUUGUGAUCAUCUCCCUCUUCUGCCCGACAUGCCCCACCCCCUCCACCCCACCCACCAAUUCCCCGGAUACCCUACCCAGUGGUUCUUUCUGGGUGUGAGGACUUCACCCCAGCAGCAGCUGUCAGUAACUGCAGCCAUGGGGCUGGUGCUCCAUGUGUGCUCCAGAGGUCCCCUGAGAACUCCCAAGAGGUGCUUGCGGGUAGGUAGUGAGGUCCCAGGGUCUAACUCGAACCUCUGUGAAUGUUGGUGGCCCCUGGUCUAGCCAGAGAAGACCCCUUCCUCCCCCUUUUUGUACAGUCAAGAGUGGUGGUACUAGGGUGCCCUUGAGGGUUUCUAGACAGUGACCCCUGAUCCCAGCAUGGGGGCCUACCGCUGUGGUGGGUCUUUGAACUUCCAAGCUGAGACACAACACCUUGUGUUCUCAGCCAUGAAUCAUCUCUGGGGUUCUUGGCAGUU